Long non-coding RNA from Nanorana parkeri, 169 nucleotides. RefSeq lists it as uncharacterized. The record is from RefSeq and is a predicted model, not a curated record. Lineage: Eukaryota; Metazoa; Chordata; Amphibia; Anura; Dicroglossidae. The transcript is spliced from 3 exons.
GCCGUUUCCGGCUUUAAGUCUGAGAAUCCGGAAGUGACGCUCCUUUCUACCCUUCUGGCGACGUAGCCGGUCCCGGAUACAGCGCUGCAGCCAUGCCUCGCAAAAUCGAAGAGAUCAAAGACUUCCUCCUCACAGCCAGAAGGAAGGAUGCCAAAUGUAAGUGUUCACC